This 973-nucleotide long non-coding RNA is filed under the name Homo sapiens (human). Its description in RNAcentral is "non-protein coding lnc-PRKACG-4:1". Lineage: Eukaryota; Metazoa; Chordata; Mammalia; Primates; Hominidae. The record is from RNAcentral.
UGAAAAUGUUGAGGUUUUUUGAGACAGGUGAGACAACACAGGCAGGCCACGGGUGAUUCAAGUGGGGAUAGAGUUUUGAGGAUCACAGCCUCAUGGUAUUGAAACGGCUUUUGAGCAUAUGAAUACUAGAGAGAGGCAGAGGAUCCUCAAUCAUCCACUUCUGCAGAAUUCCCUGUUGACAUCCUAACCUAGGAUGUAAGACAUCCUAGCUUUCCAGCACUGACUCUGCAGGUGAAACUGCUACUUAUGCUGAGUAACUAUGGCUCUGGGCUACAUUUACAAAAGUUUACAGCAUGCUUGCUUACAAGAAUCAGCUUGUUUUAACUCGAAGUAUUUAACACUGAGCAUCUUACUCAUCAGGAAUAUCUUUCUGCAGCCUUGAUCAUUUUGCUUUCUAAUGAUUUUUCUCUCAACCUCUUAUGUCUCUGUUGCUAGGGACACUUACCAGGUGGUGUAAACUGUAUUAAUUAAUUAAAAUAUUCAUUGCUGAGUCCAUUCCCAUGUGAGAAGUGUACAUCCCACACCUUUGACUCCAGACCUGUCAAUGUCACUCAUGUUGGUGGAUGGAAUGCAAGUAGAAAUGCUGUCAGCUGCACUGAGACAGAAGCUUUGUGAGCUCUCAUUGGUUCCACCAUUGCUCUUUUUCUCUGCCAUGAAAGUUGCCUGUCCCACAUAGGGGCUGCUCUGGACCCCAGAAUGAAGAAGACUCUUGGAGCAGAGCUGCAGCUGGUCCCCACAUGUGAGGGAGACGUAAAACUAUGUUGGUGAAAGCUCCUAUGAUGUUGGGAUUGUUUGUUACCAUAGCAUAACAUAGUGAAAGCUGACUAAUAUACCAGGACAUUUGGGAAAGUCUUUGGAUGAGUUCAGCAGAAGCUGCUAUUGAAGUUUUUCCCAUUUUUAUCCAUCAUGAAAUUCAGUUUAUUUAGGAUUUCUGAAUAUCUCAAAUGAGGAGUAUUUGGGUUAUUUUUAAUAA